Salvelinus sp. IW2-2015 is the source of this 132-nucleotide non-coding RNA. The record is from RefSeq and is a predicted model, not a curated record. NCBI's taxonomy places the organism in Eukaryota, Metazoa, Chordata, Actinopteri, Salmoniformes, Salmonidae.
CCUACAGGUUCAUAAUUAACAGAGGAAAUAAGGCUACCUACAGGUUCAUAAUUAACAGAGGGAUAUAAGGCUACCUACAGGUUCAUAAUUAACAGAGGGAUAUAAGGCUACCUACAGGUUCAUAAUUAACAG